CACCAGCAUGCUGCAGUAGGGUUCACUAGCAUGCUAUAGCAGAGCUCACUAGCAUAUACAGUGGAGCUCACAAGCUAAGCUAACUCCACUGCUUCUUAUGGAUGCUAAGAUAACAGCAAUGAUGGAGCGUGAUGCUAAGCUAUCACCGCUGCUAUAACUAGUGGAAGAAUUUCUAUAGGAAAAGGCAUGUAACAAACAACGAGAUAAUCGGCAAGAUCUCCUGGAGGAGGGAAUGAACGACGUGGAUCAACAAGAGUCUGGGGUAUGCUCGGAUCAUCAUCGUCGGGAGGAUCUUUUGCAUUGAUCGAUGCCGGGGUCUGGAAUAUAUUCAGAUGACUUGUAAUCAUCGGGGUAUGUCUUGGAUUUUUGGUGCUGGUUGGUGCGGGUGAUUUUUUCUAAUGAUGAUGGUCUGAAUCUGGUUGGAUUUUUGGUAUUGAUUGAUGUGGAUGAUUUUUUCCUGAUGAUAAUCGUCUGAGUAUAUUUAGAUUUUUUGGUCCAGAUUAAUAUAAAUAACUUGUCUGUGGAUGUUGGAAAUGUAAUUACAUCACUGAUCUUAAGGAUCCUUAAUAACCUGAAUUUCUGAUUGUAGGGUAUAAAUAUUUGAUAUUAAGUUCUAAAUAUGUUGAUAAUUCAUGUAAAGAAAAGUAACUCCCUUCUAAGCGACCAGCUUCUGAUUGAUGUUGUAAAAUCUUGAAAUAAACCAUUUCAUUCAGUCAUUCAUUUAGUAUUAAUGCUAAAAGUGAGGCAGUUUACUUCAAGUUUACUUCUUACUAUUAUAUAUGCCAGUAAGUUUUUUUUUGUUGUCAAUGUUUUCACAGUCUAAUUGUUUUACUCUUUUUUUAAUAAUUGUUGCUGCCCUCUUAUUGAUUUCAUAGGCUAAACUCUACUACUACAAUCAUCAACUACGACAUCUGUCACAAAAAGCAAAGCCCGGUCCAGUCUGACCGAUUAUUUUCUCAGUAUCAGUUUGUCCUAAAUGAACAUGACAAAAGACAAGAAGAGGAUAAUUAAAAGUCAAGCUUUGACUGACUGCAGUCUGAGAAGAGGAGCUGUGCGGUUGCCAGGCAGCAACACGAUCCGACAGUCAGUCAAGCAAAGACAGUGGCUUUAAUUACUCAACUACAUACAUUACAGGUGGAUGAGGGUUUUCUUCAGAGACCCUGCAGACACAUUCAGUCUAUAGGAAACAACAGCUGCUUCUCUUUUUGACAUUGUGUGAAGACGCUGAGGUCAUUUGUGCAUGAAGUAAAACUUUUGAAUCAUUUGUUGACAUAUUUGUUCAAAUCUGUUGACCGAAGCAAAAGUCUCCUCAGGUGAUGGUGAAAAACAGCUGCUCAUCAACAGGGGGCAGCAAACACAUUUGUUUUAGUUAAGGUGGCAUUUAAAAAUAUAUAAGAUAAGAAUAAGUGUUUUUUACUUUUUAUUUUAAACAUAAGUAUCUUUUUUCUGUGCUAUUUCUGAUCAAAUUAGCAUGUUUAUGCUGCACGUUUUUGCAACAGAUUUUAUGUCCAGUUAAUUUUUCUUUUUAUUCAACAAAUAAAUGGAGCAAAAUGUCAGCUUAAUAAAUCCUGAGAUAUCAGGAAAUCUGUGUGGACCCCUAAAGGUUGCAGUGCACAGGUGUAGGACCUGCUGCAGGUGUGGAGAGGCGAGAAGAGCCUCGUCAAAUUUAAUGACUCCACUUCAACAAGCUUCUGUUUAACUACCAUCCACAUGUUCACACUCAUUAAAAGAAAAAACACCUUCAACCCCCUCUAUUUCGUAUUCUGUUCCCCCAUUUUUACCCAAAGAAAAGGAUAAAGCCUGUUGCUAGGCAGGCAGUGCGACAGUUGCCAUGGGAACGCUUGCAGACAUAGCUCAAAGGGGGGAAAAUGUCAGGGAUAGGGUGGGAUAAGGAUGGCGAGCAAAAAAAGAGGGAGUGAUGCAGAGAGACACAGGCUGAGAGUGAGGGCUCGGGUCCGGGGGGGGAGGGGGAGCCAAGUUCACGACUGAUGUCUCUGCGUUCGCCGUUUGACUCCUCCUCCUGCUGAAGAAUGGAACAAAGAAGUUCAAAGGAAUGCUGAUCGAUACAUCGAGCCGAACGGCAGCGCCACAGUCGCAAAAAGCUCAAUUCAUCUGAUUUCUUUAAUGACUGCUGACACGGCGGUCUGAACGUGUGACGGCGAUGCAGAAAGAAGAGGGGAGGAGAGGGGUCUGUUUCUGCAAUGGUUGAAUGUUGACAAAAUCUCAGAGGAAACAGGCUCCAUGGCCGCCGGCUCGCUCCCGCCUCUGAUCUGGAGCAAA
This is a long non-coding RNA of Oryzias melastigma (Indian medaka), 2280 nucleotides long. RefSeq lists it as uncharacterized. The transcript has 4 exons. NCBI's taxonomy places the organism in Eukaryota, Metazoa, Chordata, Actinopteri, Beloniformes, Adrianichthyidae. The record is from RefSeq and is a predicted model, not a curated record.